CGCGGCCUAUCAGCUUGUUGGUGAGGUAACGGCUCACCAAGGCGUCGACGGGUAGCUGGUCUGAGAGGACGGUCAGCCACACUGGGACUGAGACACGGCCCAGACUCCUACGGGAGGCAGUAGUGGGGAAUCUUGCGCAAUGGGCGAAAGCCUGACGCAGCCACGCCGCGUGAGGGAUGAAGGCUUUCGGGUUGUAAACCUCUCUCAGCAGGGACGAAAAUGACGGUACCUGCAGAAGAAGCUCCGGCCAACUACGUGCCAGCAGCCGCGGUAACACGUAGGGAGCAAGCGUUGUCCGGAUUUAUUGGGCGUAAAGAGCUCGUAGGCGGUUCAGUAAGUCAGGUGUGAAAGUCCAAGGCUCAACCUUGGAACGCCGCUUGAUACUGCUGUGACUAGAGUCCGGUAGAGGAGUGUGGAAUUCCUGGUGUAGCGGUGAAAUGCGCAGAUAUCAGGAGGAACACCGACGGCGAAGGCAGCACUCUGGGCCGGUACUGACGCUGAGGAGCGAAAGCAUGGGGAGCGAACAGGAUUAGAUACCCUGGUAGUCCAUGCCGUAAACGUUGGGCACUAGGUGUGGGGCCUUAUCAACGGGUUCCGUGCCGUAGCUAACGCAUUAAGUGCCCCGCCUGGGGAGUACGG
Molecule: ribosomal RNA, 639 nt
Filed under: uncultured bacterium
Lineage: Bacteria
Description: bacterial SSU rRNA
Rfam family: Bacterial small subunit ribosomal RNA
Source: RNAcentral